GUUUUACUUGUGUAUGCUACGACUAACGUGUCAUACCACUUGUGUGUAGUGAUUAAAUCGCAAACCGAAGUUGGUAAAAACUUUAUAUAGUCGCAACCAGGUAGUGAAAGCAAACAGCAGUGGUAAUACUUAAAUUCUGGGAAUAAGGAUAGAACGAAGGAAUAACAGACAGGCACGCAUUCCUGAAAUAUUCUGAAACAAGAAUGGCUGAUGCAUCUGUACAUAGCAAAACCAAUGAAGACAAGAUUCGUGAAGU
This is a long non-coding RNA of Pecten maximus, 256 nucleotides long. RefSeq lists it as uncharacterized. The record is from RefSeq and is a predicted model, not a curated record. The transcript has 3 exons. NCBI's taxonomy places the organism in Eukaryota, Metazoa, Mollusca, Bivalvia, Pectinida, Pectinidae.